AGUGAACGCUGGCGGUAGGCCUAACACAUGCAAGUCGAACGGCAGCACAGUAAGAGCUUGCUCUUACGGGUGGCGAGUGGCGGACGGGUGGGGAAUACAUCGGAAUCUACUUUUUCGUGGGGGAUAACGUAGGGAAACUUACGCUAAUACCGCAUACGACCUACGGGUGAAAGCAGGGGAUCUUCGGACCUUGCGCGAUUGACUGAGCCGAUGUCGGAUUAGCUAGUUGGCGGGGUAAGGGCCCACCCAGGCGACGAUCCGUAGCUGGUCUGAGAGGAUGAUCAGCCACACUGGAACUGAGACACGGUCCAGACUCCUACGGGAGGCAGCAGUGGGGAAUAUUGGACAAUGGGCGCAAGCCGGAUCCAGCCAUACCGCGUGGGUGAAGAAGGCCUUCGGGUUGUAAAGCCCUUUUGUUGGGAAAGAAAAGCAGCAGGUUAAUACCCCGCUGUUCUGACGGUACCCAAAGAAUAAGCACCGGCUAACUUCGUG
RNAcentral lists this ribosomal RNA (492 nucleotides) under uncultured bacterium. RNAcentral's name for it is "partial 16S ribosomal RNA". It matches the Rfam family "Bacterial small subunit ribosomal RNA", at positions 29 to 507 of the family's 1533-position model. The record is from RNAcentral.